GAGUAAUUUCCUGCACUUAUUUCCUGCCAUUGAACGCAUCACAAAUGCAUGACUCCAACCACAUGACUUUGCUCAGCCAAUCGGAUGGCAUGUAGGUCAUAGUAAGCCUGUCCCGGCUUCCUCCCGUCAGAUGCGUGGAGGCAAGCCAGGUGACAGAGCUGUUGCAGGUGCUGAUUACUGUGAGCCAGAGCCAUAGUGUUGUUGUGCACUGAACAGAACGGAAUUGGCCAGGUGAACCUUGUUAGGGUAUGAAAGAGGAUGGCGAGCCAAUGAACGGCUAGGAGCAGGACACAUUCUGCAAUUGACGCUUCCACCGGUUGGGUAGGAAGCUAUCAAAGACAACGCUCUGUCCCAUUUUCCAAAUACACUGAUUUCCGCAAUCAUACACACCAUUCCCUUCAUUUAUGGACAAUAGCGCUUGGACAUCUCUCAUGGACAUUCAGAUUAAACUCAUGGACUUCAGUGUGGAUCAGUGGAUUUGAUAUUAACAUGUGGUGUUUAUGGGGGAACUGUUUUUUUUUGAGAACCUGUGUUGCUUGGUAUAAGCCAGACAAAUCUGUUUAGUUGUCUUUGUGUACCCUCACUGGGUUUUUGAUUAAUUGGAUAGCUGCAGCAGGAGUGAUUAUUUAAGUUUUUCUUUUCUUGUUAUUCUUUUUUGGGGUUUGGUUAAAUACA
Maylandia zebra (zebra mbuna) is the source of this 675-nucleotide long non-coding RNA. RefSeq lists it as uncharacterized. The record is from RefSeq and is a predicted model, not a curated record. Lineage: Eukaryota; Metazoa; Chordata; Actinopteri; Cichliformes; Cichlidae.